CACAACUCGGCGAGGUCCCAGGUGGAUGGUGAAUACAGGACCGUAACGUUGGCUGAUCUGAUGGAGGAGAAUGAUCAGAGAAGGACAACAGUGGCUCCCUCCAGAUGUACCUGAAACCUAUACAAAGACAUGGGCUCUCGCUGAACCCAGAGCUCACCGAUUUGGCUAGCCUGUGUGGCUAAUGAGGCUCAGGGAUCCUCCUGAAUCCAUGCCUCUCCACCCCAGCAUGGCGAGGUGAAUAGGAAGAUCCAGGCAACUGAAGACAUUGUGGUUGACUACAGCACUGGUUGAUAGUGGGGGUUGAAACUCUAUAAAGAAAGAGUCAGAGAAA
This 331-nucleotide small RNA is filed under the name Rattus norvegicus (Norway rat). RNAcentral describes it as "uncharacterized LOC103691073". The record is from RNAcentral. Lineage: Eukaryota; Metazoa; Chordata; Mammalia; Rodentia; Muridae.